Non-coding RNA from Pelobates cultripes (western spadefoot toad), 611 nucleotides. The record is from the annotation of a GenBank genome assembly. Lineage: Eukaryota; Metazoa; Chordata; Amphibia; Anura; Pelobatidae.
CAUUGACUUGGGUGGUCUGAGUACUCUUAAUCUGCACAAACAGUUUAAAGAAUAGCUUAAUUUACACAUAGUACUCUGUCAAAAUCCAAUUUUAAAACACAGAACAAGAAAUAAAGUUUUAUAAGCAUAUAAAAAUACAGAUGUAAUCCUUUACUGUGACCCUCAUAGUUACCCUCACAGUCAAACUCUCUAGGUUCUAAACUUUCAGGGAGUGUGGGUAAGACAUACGUUGAGUCUUCUGGAAUUGAGUUUAUGUGGACAUCAAUAGAUAUUAUUAUACUAAGGCAAUUCUUAAAAAGGAUUGUACUGGUUUAUUUGCUGUCUUAAUAGUGCUACAGCUCUCAUUCCAUCACUCCUGGCCCACAGUGGCCCCAGAAGCAUUUUAGUCACAAAGAAAAACUAUUUACCAUAAAAAUGGUACCUCUGCUGUAAGAAAUAAUUCUCUAAAUCCACAUUUCUUCUCUCCAGUGAAGAAAGUUUUGUGUAGGGAAAAGGAAGAAAUAUAUCUAGACUUUUUAGAUCUUUUCUUUUCAUGGAUUUCUUCUGAACAUCUACUUGUUGGAUGCUUGCCCAUUAGAACUGAUGAAUACUCUAAAAUACUGAGAAAGAAU